AGUGAACGCUGGCGGCGUGCUUAACACAUGCAAGUCGAACGAGAACGGAUUAUAGCUUGCUAUAAUUGUCAGCUAAGUGGCGCACGGGUGAGUAAUGUAUAGGCAAUAUGCCUCUUACUAAGGGAUAACAAAUGGAAACGUUUGCUAAUACCUUAUACUCCUUAUUAACAGAAGUUAAUAAGGGAAAGAUUUAUUGGUAAGAGAUUAGCCUGUAUUGUAUCAGUUAGUUGGUGGGGUAAUGGCUUACCAAGACUAUGACACAUAACUGGUUUGAGAGGAUGAUCAGUCACACUGGAACUGAGACACGGUCCAGACCCCUACGGGAGGCAGCAGUGGGGAAUAUUGCACAAUGGACGAAAGUCUGAUGCAGCAACGCCGCGUGGAGGAUGACACAUUUCGGUGCGUAAACUCCUUUUAUAUGAGAAGAUAAUGACGGUAUUAUAUGAAUAAGCACCGGCUAACUACGUGCCAGCCGCCGCCGUAA
RNAcentral lists this ribosomal RNA (484 nucleotides) under uncultured bacterium. RNAcentral's name for it is "partial 16S ribosomal RNA". It matches the Rfam family "Bacterial small subunit ribosomal RNA", at positions 29 to 523 of the family's 1533-position model. The record is from RNAcentral.